ACGUGGGACUCGAACCCACGAACCCCGAGAUCAUGACCUGAGCCGAAGUCGGAUGCUUCGCCGACUGAGGCGCUUGGACAUGCUGCCUCUAAAAACUUGCUACACGAAAAGAAGACAUGAAAUAUCUUUAUCUACACAGGUGGAGCAUUUCCUGACAUUUGCAGUACAGAGAAUCCACGCGAGGUGUGAAAGGGCAGAAGGCUGGCAGUAAAGAACAAGGGAGCACUGGGGCAAAUGGAAGAUCUGGAAGCUACUGAAAAAGACCUCUAAUGGCGUAGCCUCCAUGGAAGAGUACCGAAGACUAACACUGCUAAGAAGGUUACUGCUUUAAAACGCCGGCUGUUCUGCCUUCCCCACAAACCCAAACUAGGAAGAUCAG
This is a long non-coding RNA of Leopardus geoffroyi (Geoffroy's cat), 379 nucleotides long. RefSeq lists it as uncharacterized. The record is from RefSeq and is a predicted model, not a curated record. The transcript is spliced from 3 exons. Lineage: Eukaryota; Metazoa; Chordata; Mammalia; Carnivora; Felidae.